RNAcentral lists this ribosomal RNA (253 nucleotides) under uncultured bacterium. RNAcentral's name for it is "partial 16S ribosomal RNA". It matches the Rfam family "Bacterial small subunit ribosomal RNA", at positions 524 to 776 of the family's 1533-position model. The record is from RNAcentral.
UACGUAGGGCGCAAGCGUUGUCCGGAAUUAUUGGGCGUAAAGAGCUCGUAGGCGGCCUGUCGCGUCUGCUGUGAAAUCCCGGGGCUUAACCCCGGGCGUGCAGUGGAUACGGGCUGGCUGGAGGCAGGCAGGGGAGAAUGGAAUUCCCGGUGUAGCGGUGAAAUGCGCAGAUAUCGGGAGGAACACCAAUGGCGAAGGCAGCUCGCUGGGACGGUACUGACGCUGAGGCGCGAAAGCGUGGGGAGCAAACAGG